This 427-nucleotide ribosomal RNA is filed under the name uncultured Halanaerobiaceae bacterium. RNAcentral's name for it is "partial 16S ribosomal RNA". It matches the Rfam family "Bacterial small subunit ribosomal RNA", at positions 355 to 774 of the family's 1533-position model. The record is from RNAcentral. RNAcentral also lists the same sequence under 1 other name. Lineage: Bacteria; Bacillati; Bacillota; Clostridia; Halanaerobiales; Halanaerobiaceae.
UGGGGAAUCUUCCGCAAUGGGCGAAAGCCUGACGGAGCAACGCCGCGUGAACGAAGAAGGCCUUCGGGUCGUAAAGUUCUGUCCUCAGGGAAGAACCCUCAUGGGAGGAAAUGCCCAUGAGCUGACGGUACCUGGGAAGGAAGCCCUGGCUAACUACGUGCCAGCAGCCGCGGUAAUACGUAGAGGGCAAGCGUUGUCCGGAAUUACUGGGCGUAAAGGGUACGCAGGCGGAUAUAUAAGUCAAAUGUGAAAGGCACCGGCUCAACCGGUGAGCGGCAUUUGAAACUGUAUAUCUUGAGUUCAGGAGAGGAGAGCGGAAUUCCUGGUGUAGCGGUGGAAUGCGUAGAUAUCAGGAAGAACACCAGUGGCGAAGGCGGCUCUCUGGCCUGAAACUGACGCUCAGGUACGAAAGCUGGGGGAGCGAACG